ACGAACGCUGGCGGCGUGCUUAACACAUGCCAGUCGAACGGAAAGGCCCUGCUUUUGUGGGGUGCUCGCGUGGCGAACGGGUGAGUAACACGUGAGUAACCUGCCCUUGACUUUGGGAUAACUUCAGGAAACUGGGGCUAAUACCGGAUAGGAGCUCCUGCUGCAUGGUGGGGGUUGGAAAGUUUCGGCGGUUGGGGAUGGACUCGCGGCUUAUCAGCUUGUUGGUGGGGUAGUGGCUUACCAAGGCUUUGACGGGUAGCCGGCCUGAGAGGGUGACCGGCCACAUUGGGACUGAGAUACGGCCCAGACUCCUACGGGAGGCAGCAGUGGGGAAUAUUGCACAAUGGGCGGAAGCCUGAUGCAGCAACGCCGCGUGCGGGAUGACGGUCUUCGGGUUGUAAACCGCUUUCGCCUGUGACGAAGCGUGAGUGACGGUAAUGGGUAAAGAAGCACCGGCUAACUACGUG
RNAcentral lists this ribosomal RNA (467 nucleotides) under uncultured bacterium. RNAcentral's name for it is "partial 16S ribosomal RNA". It matches the Rfam family "Bacterial small subunit ribosomal RNA", at positions 29 to 507 of the family's 1533-position model. The record is from RNAcentral.